GAGAUCAUUUUUUAAGUCAAGAAACCUAGAUCUCAUCAAAGAUCCAAGUACAUUCUCAGAUGCUUCCACCUCAUUCGAGAAAUUAUUGAAAGAUAAGAUAUUGUCUUAGAAUGAGUUAAUACAGUGGACCCAUUCACUGAGGCCAUACCAUAGCUCUGUUUGAUCACCAUCUCGAUUAUAUGGGAUUGAGAUACAAAGGUGAUUGACUUUAGUGCAAGUGGGAGAUUAAAAGAAGAGUGCUCUACAAGCCAAUCGCAUGAGUAAUAUGAAGGAACUUUUUUUUAUAAACUUUCAACUCAUGUAAUGACACUAUUCAUUUAUUAAUAAAAUGAGAUAUUGAUUUAUCAUUAUAGCUGCAUCUUAUUGUGUUUAAGAUUAUGAUGAACC
This 387-nucleotide long non-coding RNA is filed under the name Elaeis guineensis (African oil palm). RNAcentral's name for it is "long non-coding RNA (EGUI_LNC040347)". The record is from RNAcentral. Lineage: Eukaryota; Viridiplantae; Streptophyta; Magnoliopsida; Arecales; Arecaceae.